GUGGGGAAUAUUGGGCAAUGGAGGAAACUCUGACCCAGCGACGCCGCGUGCGGGAUGAAGGCCUUCGGGUUGUAAACCGCUUUCAGUAGGGAAGAAGCGAAAGUGACGGUACCUACAAAAGAAGCACCGGCUAACUAUGUGCCAGCAGCCGCGGUAAUACAUAGGGUGCAAGCGUUGUCCGGAAUUAUUGGGCGUAAAGAGCUCGUAGGUCGUUUGUUACGUCGGAUGUGAAAACCUGAGGCUCAACCUCAGGCCUGCAUUCGAUACGGGCAAACUAGAGUUUGGUAGGGGAGACUGGAAUUCCUGGUGUAGCGGUGGAAUGCGCAGAUAUCAGGAGGAACACCAAUGGCGAAGGCAGGUCUCUGGGCCAAUACUGACACUGAGGAGCGAAAGUCUGGGGAGCGAACAGGAUUAG
Molecule: ribosomal RNA, 415 nt
Filed under: actinobacterium SCGC AAA023-D18
Lineage: Bacteria; Bacillati; Actinomycetota; Actinomycetes
Description: bacterial SSU rRNA
Rfam family: Bacterial small subunit ribosomal RNA
Source: RNAcentral